GUGGGGAAUUUUGGACAAUGGGCGCAAGCCUGAUCCAGCAAUGCCGCGUGCAGGAAGAAGGCCCUCAGGGUUGUAAACGGCUUUUGACGGUGAAGAAUCGAUAGGAUGCGUCCUGUUUUGACGGUAGCCGUUGAAUAGCACCGGCUAACUCCGUGCCAGCAGCCGCGGUAAUACGGAGGGUGCGAGCGUUGUCCGGAUUUAUUGGGUUUAAAGGGUGCGUAGGCUGGAAGGUCAGUCAGCGGUGAAAAGCUGUCGCUUAACGAUAGUCUUGCCGCAGAUACUUCCUUUCUUGGAUGAGGAGGAGGCCACUGGAACGGAUGGUGUAGCGGUGAAAUGCAUAGAUAUCAUCCAGAACACCGAUUGCGAAGGCAGGUGGCUGUACCUUAAUCGACGCUGAUGCACGAAAGCAUGGGGAGCAAACAGGAUUAGAUACCCCUGUAGUCC
This 444-nucleotide ribosomal RNA is filed under the name uncultured bacterium. RNAcentral's name for it is "partial 16S ribosomal RNA". It matches the Rfam family "Bacterial small subunit ribosomal RNA", at positions 354 to 796 of the family's 1533-position model. The record is from RNAcentral.